Molecule: non-coding RNA, 146 nt
Organism: Gossypium raimondii (Peruvian cotton)
Lineage: Eukaryota; Viridiplantae; Streptophyta; Magnoliopsida; Malvales; Malvaceae
Source: Rfam
UAUUAAAAAAUUUCAUUCUUUUUUACUAUUAAAAACUAAUAUGACUGACAGAAUAAUCAAACAAUGACGCUUAGCGUGCCACAUGUAUCUCAUAUUGAUGUACAAGAAUCAAUUUUUAACAGUAAAAAUAGAUAAAAUUUUUAACA